GCCAGGUGUGGUGGCAAGCGCCUGUAAUCCCAGCUACUUGGGAGGCUGAGGUGGGAGAAUUGCUUGAACCUGGGAGCUGGAAGUUGCAGUGAGCUGAAAUUGUGCCACUGCACUACAGCCUGGGUGACAGAGUAAGCCUCCAUCUCAU
RNAcentral lists this non-coding RNA (148 nucleotides) under Gorilla gorilla gorilla (western lowland gorilla). The record is from Rfam by way of RNAcentral. Lineage: Eukaryota; Metazoa; Chordata; Mammalia; Primates; Hominidae.